GGCACCCACACCCAGGCGCGCCCGCGCGCGCGCCCGGCCCCGUCCCUGUCUGGAAGCACAGCUGAAGAUGGCGAGCCCGGCGCCUCCGGAGCACGCCGAGGAGGGAUGCCCGGCUCCUGCCGCCGAGGAGCAGGCGCCGCCGUCGCCGCCACCGCCCCAGGCAUCCCCCGCAGAGCGGCAGCAGCAGGAGGAGGAAGCGCAGGAAGCUGGGGCGGCGGAGGGCGCGGGGUUGCAGGUGGAGGAGGCCGCGGGCCGGGCGGCGGCCGCGGUAACCUGGCUGCUCGGGGAGCCGGUGCUGUGGCUGGGCUGCCGCGCCGACGAGCUGCUGAGCUGGAAGAGGCCGCUGCGGAGCCUGCUCGGCUUCGUCGCUGCCAACCUGCUGUUCUGGUAGACACUCACCGCAACUUUCCUCCGGACGCACGUCCCUGUGAGCAGUUGUCGUUCUCCGUGUGCGGAUCCAGCCUCAGAUGCGAGGUGGUCGGCCGACCCUCAGGCACCUGCACCUACAGGUGUUCCCAUCGUGCUUGAAAACUUCGCCCCUGCUUUCUAAAACUCUGAGGUCUUGACCUGCUCGCCCAAGCUUGCCGGAGCAAACGUGCUUGAACGUGUCUUGGUUCUUGCAGCCCCAGCAGGCAUAUCUGGACCAGAUUAGGUACCCGUUCAAAACGGUGCCGCAUUCAUCAGUCACCUGAGAUGGGCCCUGAAUGAUUUGUUUUUUCCUUCCCCUGGAGCGUUAGGUUUACUGUGUUUACUCCCUGAUGAGAAAACGGGAGGCAAACAAGCAGGUGGAGUAUGCCCAGCACCCAC
This 807-nucleotide long non-coding RNA is filed under the name Homo sapiens (human). RNAcentral's name for it is "non-protein coding lnc-MYO10-4:1". Lineage: Eukaryota; Metazoa; Chordata; Mammalia; Primates; Hominidae. The record is from RNAcentral.